UACGUAGGGGGCAAGCGUUGUCCGGAUUUAUUGGGCGUAAAGAGCGUGUAGGCGGCCUGAUAGGUCGGUUGUGAAAACUGGAGGCUUAACCUUCAGACGUCGACCGAAACCAUCUGGCUAGAGUCCGGGAGAGGUGAGUGGAACUGCGAGUGUAGAGGUGAAAUUCGUAGAUAUUCGCAAGAACACCAGUGGCGAAGGCGGCUCACUGGCCCGGUACUGACGCUGAGGUGCGAAAGCGUGGGGAGCAAACAGG
This 253-nucleotide ribosomal RNA is filed under the name uncultured bacterium. RNAcentral's name for it is "partial 16S ribosomal RNA". It matches the Rfam family "Bacterial small subunit ribosomal RNA", at positions 524 to 776 of the family's 1533-position model. The record is from RNAcentral.